This 301-nucleotide ribosomal RNA is filed under the name uncultured bacterium. RNAcentral's name for it is "partial 16S ribosomal RNA". It matches the Rfam family "Bacterial small subunit ribosomal RNA", at positions 509 to 807 of the family's 1533-position model. The record is from RNAcentral.
CAGUCGCCACGGGAAAACGUAGGGCGCAAGCGUUAUCCGGAAUUAUUGGGCGUAAAGAGCUCGUAGGCGGUUUGUCGCGUCUGCCGUGAAAGUCCGGGGCUCAACCCCGGAUCUGCGGUGGGUACGGGCAGACUAGAGUGAUGUAGGGGAGACUGGAAUUCCUGGUGUAGCGGUGAAAUGCGCAGAUAUCAGGAGGAACACCGAUGGCGAAGGCAGGUCUCUGGGCAUUAACUGACGCUGAGGAGCGAAAGCAUGGGGAGCGAACAGGAUUAGAUACCCGAGUAGUCCCUGUCUCUUAUAC